This 252-nucleotide ribosomal RNA is filed under the name uncultured bacterium. RNAcentral describes it as "partial 16S ribosomal RNA". It matches the Rfam family "Bacterial small subunit ribosomal RNA", at positions 524 to 776 of the family's 1533-position model. The record is from RNAcentral.
UACGUAGGUCCCGAGCGUUGUCCGGAUUUAUUGGGUUUAAAGGGUGCGUAGGUGGAUCGUUAAGUCAGUGGUCAAAUUGAGGGGCUCAACCCCUUCCCGCCAUUGAAACUGGCGAUCUUGAGUGGAAGAGAAGUAUGCGGAAUGCGUGGUGUAGCGGUGAAAUGCAUAGAUAUCACGCAGAACCCUGAUUGCGAAGGCAGCAUGCCGGCUUCCGACUGACGCUGAAGCACGAAAGCGUGGGGAUCGAACAGG